UUUUUUUUUUUUGGCCAUGCCAGCGGCAUGUGAAAGUUCCCAGACCAGGGAUCGAACUCAAGCCACAACCUGAGCCACAGCAGUGACCUAAGCCACAGCGGUGAUAACACUGGAUCCUUAAUCUGCUGCACCACAAGGGAACUCUGAAAGCAAACAUUAUUUGGAGUGAGAUCUUAGUUGUAAAACCCUACUCCCCUUCCGGAGAUCAGAUCUCUCUUCUUAGGAUUUCAGAAAGGCACAGCCCGACCAGAGCCUCGCCUCACUCUACUGUUCAUUACUGGAAAUGCACAACCGCGAGGGAGAGAGAGCAGAAACAAUAUCAGAUUUGUCCCUGACAACCAACCACUCUCUAUUCUGCUCAGGAUACACAUCAUUACAUUUUACAUUAAAAGUUUAACCAAAAUAAUGCCCAAGACUGAUGCACCAAAUUGCCACACAGAAUAUUCCAACAGAGGCUGCAGUGUAGCCGUCCUUAAUAUCCGUAGUUAUUUGAGUUAAAUGAAGUCUGACAUAUUCCCACAUGGAAAUAGUCAGGAGAACCAUUUUUUUUUUCAGUCUAUUAAAUUUAAUUCAUUGUGUAUGUUUUCCUUCCUUAUCAGCAGUUCAAAUUAAUUUUUCUCAUUGUCAACAGGCUGUCUCCCACAUCUUUAAAUCCAAGCACACAAUAUUUGCCAGGACUAUCUGUACCCACGGGUGUGGAAAACAACAUGUUCAUUCCAUUAGGUCCUAGCAAGGCUCCAACAAUUACACAAAAUAAUUUAUCCCUCGAUGAUCAGGUACAGCUGUAUCUAAUGUCUCCUGUCAAUUUCCAUUUCAGCUGCAGAAAUUGUGAUGCUCUCAGGAGAGGAGUGAUUGGUUUUCAGUUCCACACUGCCACGGGUGGAAGCCCUCUGAAAACCACCAUGCCUGCCUGUGGAUAACCUGCACCGCAGCAUAAUGACAUUUGUACGUCUGCUACAAGGGCUUAUCCAGGAUGAUAACAAUGUAAUCACUGGCACAGGGGGUGAAAAUAACAUGGAUUUCUCUAUUCACUGAUUGCAUUGAGCCCUGAAACAAAUGGACACCCUCUAAACGGAAGGGCAGCAGUCAACAGGAAAAUAAGUGAGAGAUGCAAAAAGGUUUCUAAUUCAAUUGAAGACAUAAAUUAAUGAUGCACACAGCUUGUACAGACAGCCUCCCUGAGAAGUUUGCCCACUCCUGCAAAGCUUGCAAUCAUACAUCUGGACAAAACUAUAAUUCAAAAUAUUAUAGUUCACUGCCACACUAUUCACAGUGGCCAAGAUGUGGAAACAACUUAAAUGCUCAUCGACAGAUGAAUGUAUCAAGAUGUGCCACAUACAUGCAAUGGAAUAUUACUCACCCAUAAAAAGAAUGAAAUGGUGCCAUUUGUAGCAACACAGAUACAACUAGAGAUUCUCAUGCUAAGUGAAGUAGGUCAGAAAGAGAAAGACAAAUACCAUAUGUUGAAUCUAAAAUAUGGCACAAAUGAACCUAUCUACAGCACAUAAACAGACCCACAGUCAUGGGUAACAGACUUGUGGCUGCCCACGGGGAGAGGGAGAGGUGGGAUAGACAGGGAGUUUGGGGUUUGUAGUUGCAAACUAUUACAUUUAAAAUGAUAAGCAAUGAGAUUCUACUGUAUAGCACAGGGAAUUAUAUCCAAUCAUUUGUGGUAGAACAUGAUAGAAGGCAAUAUGAGAAAAAUCAUGUAUAUAUGUAUGUAUGACUGGGUCAUGUUGCCGUGCAGCAGAAAUUGGCACUAUGCUGUAAAUCAACUCUAUUUUAAUAAAAAAUAAAUUUAAAAUGGAAGAAAAUUAGUACUCAUUCCAACAUUUCUCUCUUUCAUUUUUUUCACCUGCCAACUGAGAAAGCCGAUACUUUCUCAUUCUUACUUCGUAAGGGUGUUCUGAGGACAAACGGAAGAAUAUAAAAGAGAUCAGAGCUUUUGGAAGAAAAGCUCUCUGUUAAUCCAAGCCAUUGCUACUAUUAUCACUGCCAACUACAGAGUGGUUUCAAAUCCUAAAUCUAAAAGCUUUUCAGACAUCUAUUAUUCAAAUCUUAUUAAAAAAAAUCCUGCAUUAUUUAGCUCCUUAUUAGAGGUGGGUAAACUGAGACCUGAAAAGAAUAAGAUACUGCCUUAAGGUCACACAGUGGCAAGGCAGGUGAAGGAAAAAAAAAAAUACUGAUUCUGUGCAAAACAUGCCACAGACACAGUGGCAAAGUGAAACUUAGAACCAUUAAUAUCAGAAAGAGCCUGAAUCAGCAGCUUUUAAAUUUAAGAAAAAAAAAACUAAUUAAAAACACUAGUCCUGCAAAAAUAUUAGAGAAA
This 2329-nucleotide long non-coding RNA is filed under the name Sus scrofa (pig). RNAcentral describes it as "lncRNA (ENSSSCG00025018586.1)". Lineage: Eukaryota; Metazoa; Chordata; Mammalia; Artiodactyla; Suidae. The record is from RNAcentral.